UAAAACUCGAUUUCAACAAAA
RNAcentral lists this non-coding RNA (21 nucleotides) under Caenorhabditis elegans. The record is from RNAcentral. Lineage: Eukaryota; Metazoa; Nematoda; Chromadorea; Rhabditida; Rhabditidae.